UCCUGUACUGCGUUUAAUCGUUAUGAGCGAAGGAGGGACGCAGGAGGCUAAGCACGCAUGGCGCCGGAAGCCAUGUUUAAGCGUCAAGCCAGAGAGUGAGUCAAAUGCUUGCUCUUGAUGAAGGCAAGGCGCGACGAGGAGCGAACUAAAGUAGCGAAGGUGCUGAUGUCACACUGCCAAGAAAAGCUUCUAGCCAGAGAGAACGUACCCGUACCGCAAACCGACACAG
This 229-nucleotide ribosomal RNA is filed under the name Acinetobacter baumannii. Its description in RNAcentral is "partial 23S ribosomal RNA". It matches the Rfam family "Bacterial large subunit ribosomal RNA", at positions 1437 to 1662 of the family's 2925-position model. The record is from RNAcentral. Lineage: Bacteria; Pseudomonadati; Pseudomonadota; Gammaproteobacteria; Moraxellales; Moraxellaceae.